Molecule: non-coding RNA, 75 nt
Organism: Streptomyces bingchenggensis BCW-1
Lineage: Bacteria; Bacillati; Actinomycetota; Actinomycetes; Kitasatosporales; Streptomycetaceae
Rfam family: ASpks TB sRNA
Source: Rfam
CUUCACCGAACCCAGCAACAGCGGACGAUCCGCCUCCCGAUCCUGCCCGUACGUGGCCAACAACGCCUGCGCCUC